UACGUAGGGGGCAAGCGUUAUCCGGAUUUACUGGGUGUAAAGGGGGCGCAGACGGCGAUGCAAGCGAGGAGUGAAAGCCCGGGGCCCAACCCCGGGACUGCUCUUGGAACUGCGUGGCUGGAGUGCAGGAGGGGCAGGCGGAAUUCCUGGUGUAGCGGUGAAAUGCGUAGAUAUCAGGAGGAACACCGGUGGCGAAGGCGGCCUGCUGGACUGCAACUGACGUUGAGGCCCGAAAGCGUGGGGAGCAAACAGG
RNAcentral lists this ribosomal RNA (253 nucleotides) under uncultured bacterium. Its description in RNAcentral is "partial 16S ribosomal RNA". It matches the Rfam family "Bacterial small subunit ribosomal RNA", at positions 524 to 776 of the family's 1533-position model. The record is from RNAcentral.